This 239-nucleotide unclassified non-coding RNA is filed under the name uncultured Cantharellales. RNAcentral describes it as "sequence contains ITS2". The record is from RNAcentral. Lineage: Eukaryota; Fungi; Basidiomycota; Agaricomycetes; Cantharellales.
AAUUAUCAAGCUGGGAUUGGCUUCAUUGCUGUCUUGGUUUGGAUUUGGACUCUGCUGUGUCACUACGGCUGGUCUUAAAAGUAUUAGCUGGCUCUUGAUUAUGAGUUUGGUUCUACUUGGCGUGAUAAUAUCUGACCGCUGAGGACAUCUUUUGGGAUGGCCAGGCUUCUUUCUAUGAGCUGCUUCUAACUCUGGUUGAUGGAUUUGGUUGUAUGACUGAAUCUGUUCCACUUUCCGAC